UUGCGCAUGNGCGAANCCUGCGCACAACGCCGCGUGGGGGAUGAAGGUCUCUCGGAUUGUAAACUCCCUUUCAUACACGGAACGAAUACUCGCUCCUGGCUCGUAACAAUCAGGAGGAUCGACGGCUUACCGGGCAGAAGAAGCCACGGCAUAACUCUGUGCCAGCAGCCGCUCCUAAGNCAGAGGUGGCUGAGCGUUGUUCGGAUUUAUUGGGCGUGAAAGCGUACGCAGGCUGCCUUGGUAAGUCAGAGGUGAAAGCCCACAGCUUAACUGUGGCACUGCCUUUGAUACUGCCUUUCUAGAGUGCAUGAGGGGGAAGCGGAAUUNCGAGUGUANAGGNGAAAUUNGUAAAUNUUCGNAGGAACACCGGUGGCGAAGGCGGCUUCCUGGCNUGUAACUGACGCUCAUGUACNAAAGCGUGGGUAGCAAACANGAUUANAUACCCUGGUNGUCCACGCCCUAAACGAUGGGCACUAGGUGUGGGAGGUAUCGACCCCUUCCGUGCCGCAGCUAACGCAUUAAGUGCCCCGCCUGNGGAGUACGGCCGCAAGGUUGAAACUCANAAAAAUUGACANNA
RNAcentral lists this ribosomal RNA (577 nucleotides) under uncultured bacterium. Its description in RNAcentral is "partial 16S ribosomal RNA". It matches the Rfam family "Bacterial small subunit ribosomal RNA", at positions 364 to 918 of the family's 1533-position model. The record is from RNAcentral.